Drosophila virilis is the source of this 588-nucleotide non-coding RNA. Lineage: Eukaryota; Metazoa; Arthropoda; Insecta; Diptera; Drosophilidae. The record is from RefSeq and is a predicted model, not a curated record.
GAAAAUAUCUUUGGAAAAAUCAAAAUUCUUUAGAAAAGAAAUAGAAUUUUUAGGAUACAUAGUAUCAUACAAUAUCAUUAAAACUGAACCGAAAAAAUAGAAUCAAACAUGAAAUACCCUCCUCCUAAUAAUUUAAGGGAAUUACGAGGUUUUCUUGGCUUAACAGGCUACUACAGGAAGGACAUAACGGUAUGGUUUCAAAACAUAUGUCAAAAAAAACAGAAAUAUCUCUAGACGAAGAAGCAAUCUCUGCGUUUGAAAACUUAAAAUCACACCCUAACUCAAAAAUGAAAAGAUGGCAUGCUUUCAUAGAAGAAUUUUCCCCUAAAAUAUUUUACAAACCAGGAUCUACCAAUGUCGUCGCUGACGCGUUAUCAAGGGUAAUGAUCAAUCAUAUUUCCAAUUAAAGAAAUCACCUGUCCGAAGAAGAACCGUCCGAUAAUUAAACUAUCCAUUCAGCCGACAGUAGUUAUAAAAGCGUAAUUGAAGAAACACACAAACAAUUGAAUGAUUUGAAAAGACGAUGAUUCUGUAUCGGAUACAUUAAAUAAAGAAAAUGAUUUACAUUUCCCACUUUGGUAGUUCAAA